This 497-nucleotide ribosomal RNA is filed under the name uncultured bacterium. RNAcentral describes it as "partial 16S ribosomal RNA". It matches the Rfam family "Bacterial small subunit ribosomal RNA", at positions 28 to 507 of the family's 1533-position model. The record is from RNAcentral.
GAUGAACGCUGGCGGCGUGCCUAAUACAUGCAAGUCGAGCGAACGGACGAGAAGCUUGCUCCUCUGAUGUUAGCGGCGGACGGGUGAGUAACACGUGGAUAACCUACCUAUAAGACUGGGAUAACUUCGGGAAACCGGAGCUAAUACCGGAUAAUAUCUUGAACCGCAUGGUUCAAAAGUGAAAGACGGUCUUGCUGUCACUUAUAGAUGGAUCCGCGCUGCAUUAGCUAGUUGGUAAGGUAACGGCUUACCAAGGCAACGAUGCAUAGCCGACCUGAGAGGGUGAUCGGCCACACUGGAACUGAGACACGGUCCAGACUCCUACGGGAGGCAGCAGUAGGGAAUCUUCCGCAAUGGGCGAAAGCCUGACGGAGCAACGCCGCGUGAGUGAUGAAGGUCUUCGGAUCGUAAAACUCUGUUAUUAGGGAAGAACAUAUGUGUAAGUAACUGUGCACAUCUUGACGGUACCUAAUCAGAAAGCCACGGCUAACUACGUG